AGCUAAUCUUGAUCGGGUAUUUAACUUCGUUUUGGUGAUUUAAUAACUUCGAAUCUUGGUUCAUUCAAAUUUCUUAUCAACUUUGUGGUAGGAUGAGGCCUAUGGACGGGACGGGGAAUAAGGGUUCGACGGAGAGGGAGCCUACGGCUACC
This 152-nucleotide ribosomal RNA is filed under the name Strongyloides stercoralis. RNAcentral describes it as "partial 18S ribosomal RNA". The record is from RNAcentral. Lineage: Eukaryota; Metazoa; Nematoda; Chromadorea; Rhabditida; Strongyloididae.